UACGUAGGGUGCGAGCGUUAAUCGGAAUUAUUGGGCGUAAAGAGCGUGUAGGCGGCCAGGUAGGUCGGUUGUGAAAACUGGAGGCUCAACCUUCAGAGGUCGACCGAAACCAUCUGGCUAGAGUCCGGGAGAGGAGAGUGGAAUUCCUGGUGUAGCGGUGAAAUGCGCAGAUAUCAGGAAGAACACCCGUGGCGAAAGCGGCUCUCUGGAACGGUACUGACGCUGAGACGCGAAAGCGUGGGGAGCGAACAGG
RNAcentral lists this ribosomal RNA (253 nucleotides) under uncultured bacterium. RNAcentral's name for it is "partial 16S ribosomal RNA". It matches the Rfam family "Bacterial small subunit ribosomal RNA", at positions 524 to 776 of the family's 1533-position model. The record is from RNAcentral.